Long non-coding RNA from Capsicum annuum, 547 nucleotides. RefSeq lists it as uncharacterized. Lineage: Eukaryota; Viridiplantae; Streptophyta; Magnoliopsida; Solanales; Solanaceae. The transcript is spliced from 2 exons. The record is from RefSeq and is a predicted model, not a curated record.
CAUAGGACGACUUAAAGACAUCAAGAAACAAUUGUCAAACACGGAAUCUAAAAAAGCUAAAAUGUCACAUCAUUCGUCUCAUAACAAAGGAGGUAUUAAAAAGGACUUAAGAGCUUAAUUUCAAAAGUCAAUGAAUUACUAUUUAAGUCUUCUUCUUGUUUCUAUUGGGUGGCCUUUGAAGUUUGUCAUUAGCAAAUUAAUUACUUCAACUUCUUUCUUUAAACAGCUUUUCUUUCUGUCACACAACUAUUUUUCUGAUUCCCUGAGUUUACUUUCUUCAGACAAGCUUAAUCCUAAACUUCAAGAUCUUGAGAAUUGCGUACAUGGAAAGAGAAAAAGAAAAAUGAAGGAGAAAUAGAGAAAUUAGCAAGCAACUCAUUGGGAUGUCAUUCAAUAUUUGUAUUUAUACUUAUAUUGACCAGGAUGAAUAUUUGCUUUAUUUAUCUUGCUACUCUUUUGUCGUUAUUUUUCUUUAUACAUCCCAGAUCGCCCAGUGUAAUCACACUGGGUAUGUUGUUCGUACUAAAGUGAAUGAUUUUUCAUUAAA